This 256-nucleotide ribosomal RNA is filed under the name uncultured bacterium. RNAcentral's name for it is "partial 16S ribosomal RNA". The record is from RNAcentral.
CUGCUGCCUUCCGUAGGAGUUUGGGCCGUGUCUCAGUCCCAAUGUGGCCGUUCACCCUCUCAGGCCGGCUACUGAUCGUUGCCUUGGUAGGCCAUUACCCCCACCAACUAGCUAAUCAGACGCGGAACCAUCGUAUACCACCAGAGUUUUUCACACCGCUUCAUGCGAAGCUGUGCGCUUAUGCGGUAUUAGCACCUAUUUCUAAGUGUUAUCCCCCAGUAUACGGCAGGUUUUCCACGCGUUACUCACCCGUCCG